RNAcentral lists this small nucleolar RNA (72 nucleotides) under Tupaia belangeri (northern tree shrew). RNAcentral describes it as "Small nucleolar RNA SNORD112 (ENSTBEG00000020716.1)". Lineage: Eukaryota; Metazoa; Chordata; Mammalia; Scandentia; Tupaiidae. The record is from RNAcentral.
UGGACCUAUGAUAAGAAUCCAUCAUAAACCAAAGACUAUGAUUAACCUAAUUAUGUUUACUUGAGUUUCAGA